This 102-nucleotide small nuclear RNA is filed under the name Propithecus coquereli (Coquerel's sifaka). The record is from RNAcentral. Lineage: Eukaryota; Metazoa; Chordata; Mammalia; Primates; Indriidae.
GCGCUCGCUUCGGCAGCACACAUACUAAAAUUGGAACGAUAGAGAUUAGCGUGGCCCCUGCGCAAGGAUGACAUGCAAAUUCGUGAAGAGUUCCAUAUUAAA